Molecule: transfer RNA, 74 nt
Filed under: Giardia duodenalis
Lineage: Eukaryota; Fornicata; Diplomonadida; Hexamitidae
Also listed under: 3 other names
Description: Giardia intestinalis tRNA-Val
Rfam family: tRNA
About the family: Transfer RNA (tRNA) molecules are approximately 80 nucleotides in length. Their secondary structure includes four short double-helical elements and three loops (D, anti-codon, and T loops).
Source: RNAcentral
GGUCCGAUAGUGUAGCUGGUUAGCACGUUCGCUUGACGUGCGAGAGGUCCGGAGUUCGAGUCUCCGUCGGAUCA